RNAcentral lists this ribosomal RNA (240 nucleotides) under uncultured bacterium. RNAcentral describes it as "partial 16S ribosomal RNA". It matches the Rfam family "Bacterial small subunit ribosomal RNA", at positions 527 to 765 of the family's 1533-position model. The record is from RNAcentral.
GGGAGUGGCAAGCGUUAUCCGGAAUUAUUGGGCGUAAAGCGUCCGCAGGCGGCCUUUCAAGUCUGCUGUUAAAGCGUGGAGCUUAACUCCAUCAUGGCAGUGGAAACUGAUUGGCUUGAGUAUGGUAGGGGUAGAGGGAAUUCCCGGUGUAGCMGUGAAAUGCGUAGAUAUCGGGAAGAACCACCAGUGGCGAAGGCGCUCUACUGGGCCAUUACUGACGCUCAUGGACGAAAGCCAGGG